UCGAGGAUCUUCGGCAAUGGGCGCAAGCCUGACCGAGCGACGCCGCGUGCGCGAUGAAGGCCUUCGGGUUGUAAAGCGCUGUCGAGGGGGAGGAAAGCCCGCAAGGGUCUGACCUAUCCCUGGAGGAAGCACGGGCUAAGUUCGUGCCAGCAGCCGCGGUAAGACGAACCGUGCGAACGUUGUUCGGAUUCACUGGGCUUAAAGGGCGCGUAGGCGGCUCGCCAAGUCGGGGGUGAAAUCUUUCGGCUCAACCGGAAAACAGCUUCCGAUACUGGCGGGCUGGAGGGAGGUAGGGGCGGACGGAACUUCCGGUGGAGCGGUGAAAUGCGUAGAUAUCGGAAGGAACGCCGGUGGCGAAAGCGGUCCGCUGGAUCUCUUCUGACGCUGAGGCGCGAAAGCCAGGGGAGCAAACGGGAUUAGAUACCCCCGUAGUCC
RNAcentral lists this ribosomal RNA (435 nucleotides) under uncultured bacterium. RNAcentral describes it as "bacterial SSU rRNA". It matches the Rfam family "Bacterial small subunit ribosomal RNA", at positions 355 to 796 of the family's 1533-position model. The record is from RNAcentral.